CCUACGGGUGACAGCAGUGAGGAAUAUUGGUCAAUGGACGAGAGCCUGAACCAGCCAAGUAGCGUGAAGGAUGACUGCCCUAUGGGUUGUAAACUUCUUUUAUAAAGGAAUAAAAUGCGCCACGUGUGACUUUUUGCAUGUACCCUAUGAAUAAGGAUCGGCUAACUCCGUGCCAGCAGCCGCGGUAAUACGGAGGAUCCGAGCGUUAUCCGGAUUUAUUGGGUUUAAAGGGAGCGGAGGCGGGUUGUUAAGGCAGCUGUGAAAGUUUGCGGCUCAACCGUCAAAUUGCAGUUGAUACUGGCAGUCUUGAGUGCGCUUGAGGUAUGCGGAAUUCGUGGUGUAGCGGUGAAAUGCUUAGAUAUCACGAAGAACCCCGAUUGCGAAGGCAGCUUACUGAACUGUGACUGACGUUGAUGCUCGAAAGUGUGGGUAUCGAACAGGAUUAGAUACCCUAGUAGUC
Molecule: ribosomal RNA, 460 nt
Filed under: uncultured bacterium
Lineage: Bacteria
Description: partial 16S ribosomal RNA
Rfam family: Bacterial small subunit ribosomal RNA
Source: RNAcentral